AUUGCUUCUUGGCCUUUUGGCUAAGAACAAGCGUAAUA
This 38-nucleotide small nuclear RNA is filed under the name Cervus elaphus hippelaphus. Lineage: Eukaryota; Metazoa; Chordata; Mammalia; Artiodactyla; Cervidae. The record is from RNAcentral.